RNAcentral lists this ribosomal RNA (499 nucleotides) under uncultured Glomeromycotina. Its description in RNAcentral is "partial small subunit ribosomal RNA". It matches the Rfam family "Eukaryotic small subunit ribosomal RNA", at positions 591 to 1092 of the family's 1831-position model. The record is from RNAcentral. Lineage: Eukaryota; Fungi; Glomeromycota.
CCAAUAGCGUAUAUUAAAGUUGUUGCAGUUAAAAAGCUCGUAGUUGAAUUUCGAGACCGGUCUACUGGUCGUGCUUUUGUACGUACUGGUUUUAUUGGUUUCUCCUUUCUGACGAACCAUAAUGCCAUUAAUUUGGUGUUAUGGGGAAUCAGGACUGUUACUUUGAAAAAAUUAGAGUGUUUAAAGCAGGCUCACGCUUGAAUACAUUAGCAUGGAAUAACGGAAUAGGACGUUUGAUUCUAUUUUGUUGGUUUCUAGGAUCGACGUAAUGAUUAAUAGGGAUAGUUGGGGGCAUUAGUAUUCAAUUGUCAGAGGUGAAAUUCUUGGAUUUAUUGAAGACUAACUACUGCGAAAGCAUUUGCCAAGGAUGUUUUCAUUAAUCAAGAACGAAAGUUAGGGGAUCGAAGACGAUCAGAUACCGUCGUAGUCUUAACCAUAAACUAUGCCGACUAGGGAUCGGAUGAUGUUAAUUUUUUAAUGACUCAUUCGGCGCCUUACG